AUUGAACGCUGGCGGCAGGCUUAACACAUGCAAGUCGAGCGAGCGGCGGACGGGUGAGUAAUGUCUGGGAAACUGCCUGAUGGAGGGGGAUACCUACUGGAAACGGUCGCUAAUCCCGCAUACCAUCAUAUGUGCCCAGAUGGGAUUGGCUAGUAGGUGGGGUAAUGGCUCACCUAGGCGACGAGCCCUCGCUGGUCUGAGAGGAUGACCAGCCACACGGGAACUGAGAAACGGGCCAGAAUCCGACGGGAGGCAGCAGUGGGGAAUAUUGCACAAUGGGCGAAAGCCGGAUGCAGCCAUGCCGCGUGUGUGAAGAAGGCCUUCGGGUUGUAAAGCACUUUCAGCGAGGAGGCGUUACUCGCAGAAGAAGCACCGGCUAACUCCGUGCCAGCAGCCGCGGUAAUUC
RNAcentral lists this ribosomal RNA (406 nucleotides) under uncultured bacterium. Its description in RNAcentral is "partial 16S ribosomal RNA". It matches the Rfam family "Bacterial small subunit ribosomal RNA", at positions 30 to 526 of the family's 1533-position model. The record is from RNAcentral.